AUUGAACGCUGGCGGCAGGCCUAACACAUGCAAGUCGAACGGUAACAGGAAGCAGCUUGCUGCUUUGCUGACGAGUGGCGGACGGGUGAGUAAUGUCUGGGAAACUGCCUGAUGGAGGGGGAUAACUACUGGAAACGGUAGCUAAUACCGCAUAACGUCGCAAGGCCAAAGAGGGGGACCUUAGGGCCUCUUGCCAUCGGAUGUGCCCAGAUGGGAUUAGCUAGUAGGUGGGGUAACGGCUCACCUAGGCGACGAUCCCUAGCUGGUCUGAGAGGAUGACCAGCCACACUGGAACUGAGACACGGUCCAGACUCCUACGGGAGGCAGCAGUGGGGAAUAUUGCACAAUGGGCGCAAGCCUGAUGCAGCCAUGCCGCGUGUAUGAAGAAGGCCUUCGGGUUGUAAAGUACUUUCAGCGGGGAGGAAGGGAGUAAAGUUAAUACCUUUGCUCAUUGACGUUACCCGCAGAAGAAGCACCGGCUAACUCCGUG
Molecule: ribosomal RNA, 490 nt
Filed under: uncultured bacterium
Lineage: Bacteria
Description: partial 16S ribosomal RNA
Rfam family: Bacterial small subunit ribosomal RNA
Source: RNAcentral